Molecule: microRNA precursor, 136 nt
Filed under: Hordeum vulgare
Lineage: Eukaryota; Viridiplantae; Streptophyta; Magnoliopsida; Poales; Poaceae
Description: microRNA MIR1122
Rfam family: MIR1120/MIR1122 microRNA precursor family
Source: RNAcentral
CAAAUACUACCUUCGUUCCAAAAUUCUUGUCUUAGAUUUGUUUAGAUAUGAAUGUACCUAGUCAAGUUUUAGUAUUUAGAUACAUCUAUUUUUAGACAAAGCUAAGACAAGAAUUUUGAAACGGAAGGAGUAUAUA